AAUUCCGGGCCUCCUAUACAUGCAAGUCGAGCGGACAGAAGGGAGCUUGCUCCCGGAUGUUAGCGGCGGACGGGUGAGUAACACGUGGGUAACCUGCCUGUAAGACUGGGAUAACUCCGGGAAACCGGAGCUAAUACCGGAUAGUUCCUUGAACCGCAUGGUUCAAGGAUGAAAGACGGUUUCGGCUGUCACUUACAGAUGGACCCGCGGCGCAUUAGCUAGUUGGUGGGGUAAUGGCUCACCAAGGCGACGAUGCGUAGCCGACCUGAGAGGGUGAUCGGCCACACUGGGACUGAGACACGGCCCAGACUCCUACGGGAGGCAGCAGUAGGGAAUCUUCCGCAAUGGACGAAAGUCUGACGGAGCAACGCCGCGUGAGUGAUGAAGGUUUUCGGAUCGUAAAGCUCUGUUGUUAGGGAAGAACAAGUGCGAGAGUAACUGCUCGCACCUUGACGGUACCUAACCAGAAAGCCACGGCUAACUACGUGCCAGCAGCCGCGGUAAUACGUAGGUGGCAAGCGUUGUCCGGAAUUAUUGGGCGUAAAGGGCUCGCAGGCGGUUUCUUAAGUCUGAUGUGAAAGCCCCCGGCUCAACCGGGGAGGGUCAUUGGAAACUGGGAAACUUGAGUGCAGAAGAGGAGAGUGGAAUUCCACGUGUAGCGGUGAAAUGCGUAGAGAUGUGGAGGAACACCAGUGGCGAAGGCGACUCUCUGGUCUGUAACUGACGCUGAGGAGCGAAAGCGUGGGGAGCGAACAGGAUUAGAUACCCUGGUAGUCCACGCCGUAAACGAUGAGUGCUAAGUGUUAGGGGGUUUCCGCCCCUUAGUGCUGCAGCUAACGCAUUAAGCACUCCGCCUGGGGAGUACGGUCGCAAGACUGAAACUCAAAGGAAUUGACGGGGGCCCGCACAAGCGGUGGAGCAUGUGGUUUAUUUCGAAGCAACGCGAAGAACCUUUACCAGGUCUUUGACAUCCUCUGACAACCCUAGAGAUAGGGCUUUCCCUUCGGGGACAGAGUGACAAGGUGGUUGCAUGGUUUGUCGUCAGCUCGUGUUCGUGAGAUGUUGGGUUUAGUUCCCGCAACGAGCGCAACCCCUUUGAUCUUUAGUUUGCCAGCCAUUUUAGCUUGGGUCACUUCUUAGCUGACUUGCCUGGUGAACAGCCGAAGGAAGGGUGGGGGAG
This 1180-nucleotide ribosomal RNA is filed under the name Bacillus pumilus. RNAcentral describes it as "bacterial SSU rRNA". It matches the Rfam family "Bacterial small subunit ribosomal RNA", at positions 38 to 1181 of the family's 1533-position model. Lineage: Bacteria; Bacillati; Bacillota; Bacilli; Caryophanales; Bacillaceae. The record is from RNAcentral.